CAAGGAGGCUGGGCGACCGCUGUUUCGUCAAUAGGCGAAAGAGAGGAAAGUCCGAGCUCCACCGGGCAGGAUGCCCGCUAACGGCGGGGCGGGGCAACCCGACGGACAGUGCCACAGAAAUAUACCGCCCAGGUGAAUCGCUUGGGUAAGGGUGAAAAGGUGCGGUAAGAGCGCACCGCCGCGCUGGUAACAUCGCGGGCUAGGCAAACCCCAUUCGGAGCAAGGCCUAAUAGGGGGAUACGGACGCCCGGUCCCUCCCCGGGAUGGCCGCAAGACCGCGACGGCAACGGCGCGGCUAGAUGGAUGGUCGCCGCCUGCACAAAGAGCGCAGGACACAGAACUCGGCUUACAGGCUUCCUUGGCAU
This 365-nucleotide RNase P RNA is filed under the name Chloroflexota bacterium. RNAcentral describes it as "RNase P RNA component class A". It matches the Rfam family "Bacterial RNase P class A". Rfam says of the family: Ribonuclease P (RNase P) is a ubiquitous endoribonuclease, found in archaea, bacteria and eukarya as well as chloroplasts and mitochondria. Lineage: Bacteria; Bacillati; Chloroflexota. The record is from RNAcentral.